RNAcentral lists this ribosomal RNA (1152 nucleotides) under Triticum aestivum (bread wheat). RNAcentral's name for it is "partial small subunit ribosomal RNA". The record is from RNAcentral. Lineage: Eukaryota; Viridiplantae; Streptophyta; Magnoliopsida; Poales; Poaceae.
AUGAAUCGGGCACUGGCGGACUGCAAAACACGGCAGAACAUCCAGAAGCUGGUAAAGGGUGGUUUCAUCAUCAGGAAGCCUCAGAAGAUCCACUCCAGGUGUCGUGCAAGGAGGGCACAUGAGGCCAAGCAGAAGGGCCGUCACUCUGGAUAUGGUAAGCGUAGUGGCACCAGGGAGGCUAGGCUCCGCACCAAGAUCCUAUGGAUGCGGAGGAUGUGCGUCUUGAGGCGUCUUCUGCGCAAGUACCGUGAGGCGAAGAAGAUCGACAAGCACAUGUUUCAUGACAUGUACCUGAAGGUCAAGGUAACAUGUUCAAGAACAAGAGGGUCCUCAUGAAGAGUAUCCACAAGUCCAAGGCUGAGAAGGCAAGAGAGAAGACCCUCUCUGACCAGUUUGAGGCCAAGCGUGCCAAGAGCAAGGCAAGCAGGGAGAGGAAGAUUGCGAGGAGGGAGGAGAGAUUUGCUCAGGUGCGGGUGUUGCCGGUUGAUGGUGGCCUAAGCAUUUGAGUCUAACUGAAAGUGAACCGGAGCGAUGUGCAGAAAAAAAAAUUAGCACAGAGACUGAAUUUGUAUACUACUUAGAAUUUAUUAGAUCAGGUUAUAUUUCCUUGGUAGCAUGGCAGCAGCACCCAAUCAGACCACAACCGCGGCAGGCGUGCUCUGCGAUCUUGUCCACCGUCUCCAAGGCAGGUACGACCUACCCCGCCACUGAGAGCUGCCCCUCCUCAUCACCAUCAACGCCGGAAGUUGGGCGCCAAGGUGGAGUCCCUGCAGAAGUUGUUCACCCGGAAGGUCGUCUUCUCCAAGGCGUCUCUAGCCUUCGAACAGGACCGCUCCAUCAAGAUUACUUAGCUUCGUUCAACUGCCAUUUUGACAUGGACUGCAAGUGGUGCUAGGGUUUGGUUGCUGGAUGGAAAAACACCAAGAACAUACGUCAUUACUCCAGCCACAUGGAAGCAAGCAUGCAUGGCACCGUCCGCGUGGCCUGAUUAGCGAUUAACCACACGUAUGGUCUACACGUAUAUACUUGUCAAUCAUACAUAUAUAUGUGUACCCACAUAUUCUUGAUUAGUUGGUUUGGUUGAUAUAUAAAUACAUUCUUAAUUGGUCUACCAGUUCUUGUGAUGUUACGAUUGAAAAGAAAUUAUUGGGG